CACGGGGGUUGCAAGCGUUGUCCGGAAUUACUAGGCGUAAAGUGCAGGUAGGCGGAUAGAUAAGUUUAAGGUUAAAGGCUACGGCUUACCCGUAGUAAGGCGUUAGAUACUGUUUAUCUGGAAUGCGGUUGAGGGAGACAGAAUUCCUGGUGUAGCGGUGGAAUGCGCAGAGAUCAGGAGGAAUACCGAAGGCGAAGGCAGUCUUCUAAGCCGAUAUUGACGCUAAACUGCGAAGGUGUGGGGAUCAAACAGGAUUAGAUACCCUGGUAGUCCACACAGUAAACGAUAAUCACUAGGUGUUGGGUUCGUAUAGGACUCGGUGCCGGAGCUAACGCACUAAGUAGACCGCCUGGGGAGUACGGUCGCAAGGUUAAA
RNAcentral lists this ribosomal RNA (375 nucleotides) under uncultured bacterium. Its description in RNAcentral is "bacterial SSU rRNA". It matches the Rfam family "Bacterial small subunit ribosomal RNA", at positions 524 to 898 of the family's 1533-position model. The record is from RNAcentral.